Molecule: unclassified non-coding RNA, 334 nt
Filed under: soil metagenome
Description: partial contains 5.8S ribosomal RNA, internal transcribed spacer 2, and large subunit ribosomal RNA
Rfam family: 5.8S ribosomal RNA (bases 1-120)
Source: RNAcentral
GAUGAAGAACGUAGCGAAAUGCGAUACGUAAUGUGAAUUGCAGAAUUCAGUGAAUCAUCGAAUCUUUGAACGCACAUUGCGCCUGCCAGCACUCUGGCAGGCAUGCCUGUUCGAGCGUCAUUUCAACCAUCAAGCCCUAGGCUUGCGUUGGAGCCCUGCGGCUGCCGCAGGCCCCUAAAAGCAGUGGCGGGCUCGCUAUCACACCGAGUGCAGUAGAUUACUCUUCGCUCAGGGCGUGUGGCGGGUUCCAGCUGUGAAACCCCCUACUUCUCAAGGUUGACCUCGGAUCAGGUAGGAAUACCCGCUGAACUUAAGCAUAUCAAUAAGCGGAGGA